GGAUGCAAUCGUCCUAUUAUUAACUCUGAUAAUAUGGAAGUCAUUGACACAAUGAAAAAUGAAGGACAAUCGAUGGGAGCAGUCUUCAAGUAUUGCUACUUCAUGACAUGUGAUUUCCUGUUGACUAGAUUUAAACAUUGUAAUAGGGUAGCUAAUAAGGUUAGUCAUGAUCUUGCUGCGAAAGUUUCUGUAACUAGAGAUUGGUUUGAGGAGCCUAUGAAGAAUAUUGUACAUUUUCUUAUAGAUGAUGUAAUCAUUAUUUCCAAUUAA
Molecule: ribosomal RNA, 270 nt
Filed under: Triticum aestivum (bread wheat)
Lineage: Eukaryota; Viridiplantae; Streptophyta; Magnoliopsida; Poales; Poaceae
Description: partial small subunit ribosomal RNA
Source: RNAcentral